GGGGAUCGAUGGGGACGAAUGACAUGUGUGGACCCAUCGUGGUAUGCAAUGUUGUGGGAUUAGGUUCACUUGGCAAGGUUUAAAAACUCGAUUCGAAUCGUCUGUCUCUCACAAUUUGAGACUGCUUGACUGCUAUGCUGCAUUGAGUAGUAAGUGGAACAAAGAAUGAUUAUUUAAUGAUGAUGCUUGGAAUAAAAUGUUUGCUCAACUUGCUUGUCUAGAACAGGUGCAUACUAGAAUGAUUAAUCUACUAAAACCUGCUGCUAAAACUUGAAAGUAAGGAUUUACUUUAGAUGCUUUUGGCAAAACAAACCCCUCAGCUAAGAAGCCUUGCAUAUUUAGAAGUUGAUGAAGUAGUUACCACCC
Molecule: long non-coding RNA, 366 nt
Filed under: Setaria viridis
Lineage: Eukaryota; Viridiplantae; Streptophyta; Magnoliopsida; Poales; Poaceae
Description: long non-coding RNA (SVIR_LNC005857)
Source: RNAcentral